UUGUUUUGGCAGCACAUGUACGAAAAUUGGAAUGACACAGAGAUUAGCAUGGCCCUGGUGCAAGGAUGACAUGGAAAUUCAUGAAGCAUUCCCUGUUGUU
Molecule: small nuclear RNA, 100 nt
Filed under: Pongo abelii (Sumatran orangutan)
Lineage: Eukaryota; Metazoa; Chordata; Mammalia; Primates; Hominidae
Source: RNAcentral